Molecule: long non-coding RNA, 663 nt
Filed under: Marmota monax (woodchuck)
Lineage: Eukaryota; Metazoa; Chordata; Mammalia; Rodentia; Sciuridae
Source: RNAcentral
GAAUAGCCAAAGCAAUCCUCAGCAAGAAGAGUGAAGCAGGAGGCAUCACAAUACCAGACCUUAAACUAUACUACAAAGCAAUAGUAAUAAAAAUGGUGUGGUAUUGGCACCAAAUUAGACAUGUGGACCAAUGGUACAGAAUAGAAGACAGAGACAAACCCACAUAAAUACAGUUAUCUUGUAUUAGACAAAGGCACCAAAACAUUCACUGGAGAAAAGAUAGCCUCUUCAACAAAUAGUGCUGGGAAAAUUGGAAAUCCACAUGUAACAAAAUGAAUAAACCCCCAUCUCUCACCCUGCAGGAAACUCAACUCAAAGUGGAUUAAAGACAUAGGCACCAGAUAGAGACUCUGCACCUAAUAGAAGAAAAAGUAGGCCCAAAUCUCUGCCAUGUCACCCUAGGAUCUGACUUCCCUAACAAGACUUCUAAAGCAAGAAGUAAAAUCAAGAAUCAAUAAAUGGGAUGGACUCCAACUAAAAAGCUUCUUAACAAAGAAAACAAUAAGUAAUGUGAGGAGAGAGCCUACAGAAUGGGAGAAAAUCUUUACCACAGGCACCUCAGAUGCAGCAUUAAUCUCCAGGAUAUAUAAAGAACUCAAAAAACCAAAUAACCCAAUCAAUAAAUGGGCUAAGGAAUUGAAUUGACUCUUCACAGAAGAAGAA